RNAcentral lists this ribosomal RNA (510 nucleotides) under uncultured bacterium. RNAcentral describes it as "bacterial SSU rRNA". It matches the Rfam family "Bacterial small subunit ribosomal RNA", at positions 15 to 518 of the family's 1533-position model. The record is from RNAcentral.
GAUUCUGGCUCAGGAUGAACGCUAGCGGCAGGCUAACACAUGCAAGUCGAGGGGCAACGCGAGUAGCAAUACUUGGCGGCGACCGGCGCAAGGGUGCGUAACGCGUGAGCAACAUGCCCGUAUCAGGGGGAUAAUCCAGGGAAACUUGGUCUAAUACCCCAUAGUAAUUUUGUAAGGCAUCUUAUAAGAUUUAAAGCUUUGGUGGAUACGGAUUGGCUCGCGUGACAUUAGCUGGAUGGUAAGGUAACGGCUUACCAUGGCUAUGAUGUCUAGGGGGUUCUGAGAGGAAGGUCCCCCACACUGGAACUGAGACACGGUCCAGACUCCUACGGGAGGCAGCAGUGAGGAAUAUUGGACAAUGGAUGGAAAUCUGAUCCAGCCAUGCCGCGUGAAAAGGAAGAAGGUCCUAUGGAUUGUAAACUUCUUUUGUAUGGGAGCAAUAAGGCCUACGAGUAGGUUGAUGAGAGUACCAUACGAAUAAGCACCGGCUAACUCCGUGCCAGCAGCAGC